RNAcentral lists this small nuclear RNA (321 nucleotides) under Neotoma lepida (desert woodrat). Its description in RNAcentral is "7SK RNA". It matches the Rfam family "7SK RNA". From Rfam's summary of the family: 7SK was discovered as an abundant small nuclear RNA in the mid-70s but a possible function has only recently been suggested. Two independent studies have found that 7SK RNA binds the CDK9/cyclin T complex (known as elongation factor P-TEFb). Lineage: Eukaryota; Metazoa; Chordata; Mammalia; Rodentia; Cricetidae. The record is from Rfam by way of RNAcentral.
GGGUAGGAGGGCAAUGUGGCCAUGGCAUCUGUCACCCCUUUGAUCAUCAGGGUUCAUUUGGCUGAUAUGGCUGGCUAGAUGGUUGUCUCUGUCCUUUGUCAUGGCUUCAGUUCUGCCCCUGCCAACUCUGUAUGUGGGGAAGAGGCCAACUUUCUCUGAUAGAGGAUGAUCAUUCUUCAGUCAAGGGCACAUGAGUAGCUGUGCUCCUCUGCUAGAAUUUUAAGCUUUCAAGGUACUUUGUAGGAGAAUUAUGUAGUCAAUUUUCUGAGACUCCAAGAGACAUCCAAAUGAGGCAUUGCACUAGGGAAUGUGCCUUUCUAA